CCGAGUUUACAACUCCCAAACCCAAUGUGAACCAUACCAAACUGUUGCCCUCGGCGGGGUCACGCCCCGGGUGCGUCGCAGCCCCGGAACCAGGCGCCCGCCGGAGGGACCAACCAAACUCUUUCUGUAGUCCCCUCGCGGACGUUAUUUCUUACAGCUCUGAGCAAAAAUUCAAAAUGAAUCA
Molecule: unclassified non-coding RNA, 184 nt
Filed under: soil metagenome
Description: partial internal transcribed spacer 1
Source: RNAcentral